UACGUAGGGUGCAAGCGUUGUCCGGAAUUAUUGGGCGUAAAGAGCUCGUAGGCGGUUCGGUAAGUCGGGUGUGAAACCUCCAGGCUCAACCUGGAGAGGCCACCUGAUACUGCUGUGACUCGAGUCCGGUAGGGGAGCGUGGAAUUCCUGGUGUAGCGGUGAAAUGCGCAGAUAUCAGGAGGAACACCAGCGGCGAAGGCGGCGCUCUGGGCCGGAACUGACGCUGAGGAGCGAAAGCGUGGGUAGCAAACAGG
This 254-nucleotide ribosomal RNA is filed under the name uncultured bacterium. RNAcentral describes it as "partial 16S ribosomal RNA". It matches the Rfam family "Bacterial small subunit ribosomal RNA", at positions 524 to 776 of the family's 1533-position model. The record is from RNAcentral.